AUGAAAUCAAAUAGAAAUAUGAAGCUGAGAAAAAGGAAGGAAUGUGUGCGGCUGUGUGAAGUAGAGUCGAGCUCAGCCAUUGGAAAGUGGAAUGAGGACCUUGCCUGCCUGUCAGAGAAGGUGCAAAAGAUGGUCCAGAAUGUUGAUUUCAUGCUACCUUUAAUGCUUAUUACUGAACUCCACUGCUGUGAAAUCAGAUUGUCAUGGUUAAGAGAUGGUCUCCUCAUCUUUCCAAAACCCAUAUCUGUAGACCCACAAGGACAACAGUGA
This 270-nucleotide long non-coding RNA is filed under the name Anser cygnoides (Swan goose). Its description in RNAcentral is "lncRNA (ENSACDG00005009430.1)". The record is from RNAcentral. Lineage: Eukaryota; Metazoa; Chordata; Aves; Anseriformes; Anatidae.